CUCGCCCAGACCCCAAAACCAAUCGUCACUGCCUAGGGUUCUCCCGCCGCCACCUGCAGUUGGCGACUCAUCGAGGAACGCUGCCGCCGGCCGUUCUUCCCCAGCAUCCGUCUAGCAGCUGAAGGCAACGCCUGGUCGUCUGCUGCAUCGAGCUUGUGCCGACAGGUAAUAAAUAAGCGACAUGCAUGGGAAGCGGGCGUAGCACAACACAUCACUCCAUCACACAACAUUUCCAUAUACCGCCUAGAAAUACAUAUAUACAAAGUAGUCAUAAACCAUUAGUUGUGUAUUUGAUACUCCCUGUUUGAGUUUCCUAAAACCAUUUGUUGUGAACCUUUGGUUGAUCUAGUACUACUUAUAACUAUUUCUUGAAUUGUGAGCUAUAUACAUGUUAAUGGUCAAAUAUUUCUGAACUGUUUGUUGUGGAUCUUCUUAUAAAUAAAGGAGGUGCUGCCCGAUUUUAGCAUUA
Long non-coding RNA from Lolium rigidum, 469 nucleotides. RefSeq lists it as uncharacterized. The record is from RefSeq and is a predicted model, not a curated record. The transcript has 2 exons. Lineage: Eukaryota; Viridiplantae; Streptophyta; Magnoliopsida; Poales; Poaceae.